UUGGCGGUUCCGGAGUCGGGAGUAAGACCGGGGCAGAAUGUGGGCGCAAGUGAGCCGAGGAGCUGAGGAGUUUUACGCUCGCCUUCUUCAAGAAUUUAAUGAAGAAAAGAAAGGAAUCUGUAAAGACCCAUUUAUCUAUGAGGCUGAUAUCCAAGUGCAAUUGAUCAACAAAGGUCAACCAAACCCUCUGAAAAAUAUUCUAAAUGAAAAUGACAU
This 216-nucleotide long non-coding RNA is filed under the name Ictidomys tridecemlineatus (thirteen-lined ground squirrel). Its description in RNAcentral is "lncRNA (ENSSTOG00000031569.1)". The record is from RNAcentral. Lineage: Eukaryota; Metazoa; Chordata; Mammalia; Rodentia; Sciuridae.